This 213-nucleotide ribosomal RNA is filed under the name uncultured eukaryote. Its description in RNAcentral is "partial 18S ribosomal RNA". It matches the Rfam family "Eukaryotic small subunit ribosomal RNA", at positions 372 to 598 of the family's 1831-position model. The record is from RNAcentral.
AGGGUUCGAUUCCGGAGAGGGAGCCUGAGAAACGGCUACCACAUCUACGGAAGGCAGCAGGCGCGAAAAUUGCCCAAUCCUGAUUCAGGGAGGCAGUGACAAGAAAUAACAACUCUCGACUUUGUUGAGAAGUGUAAUGAGGAUAAUUUACAAACCUUACCGAAAGCAAUUGGAGGGCAAGUCUGGUGCCAGCAGCAGUCUGGUGCCAGCAGC